This 215-nucleotide ribosomal RNA is filed under the name uncultured Archaeospora. RNAcentral describes it as "partial small subunit ribosomal RNA". The stretch from base 93 to 215 matches the Rfam family "Eukaryotic small subunit ribosomal RNA", at positions 738 to 863 of the family's 1831-position model. The record is from RNAcentral. Lineage: Eukaryota; Fungi; Glomeromycota; Glomeromycetes; Archaeosporales; Archaeosporaceae.
GGCCUGGCCGGAUGGUCCGUCUUUGGCGAGUACUGUUCUGUCGUCGGGUCUAUCCUUCUGGUGAGCCGGGAUGCCCUUUAUUGGGUGUGUCGGGGAACCAGGACCAUUACCUUGAAAAAAUUAGAGUGUUUAAAGCGGGCAUUUGCUUGAAUAGAUUAGCAUGGAAUAAUAGAAUAGGACGUUGGUUCUAUUUUGUUGGUUUUAGGACCACCGUA